AUGAUGAUCUCAUGUGUACAAUCGAAAAAAAACCAUACUGCUGGGUGGCAACAUGCGAACGAGCGAGCGAGCGAGCGAAGCCUCCAUGUCCCUUCGCCGUUGCCCUCGCACAUCAAGUCGCCGCCCUCGCCCUCUCCCUCGCAGCCGCCGCCGAUCCCCUCCCCCAUCUUCCUCCCUCAAAAGCUAACCCGUCUCGCGGUGCGCUACCGCCCGUCGCUACCGCCCCCGCCACCUCCCGUCGCGGGUAGGCGGGAGGAGCCCUGCCCGACCAUGGAGACACUGCCGGCGGCCUCCUCCUCCCCCUCACCUUCUCUCCCUUUCCCAAGGGAGGGAAGGGAAUGGAAGGGAUCCGGCGGCAAGGGGGGGCAGCGCCCAGAUCCGCGGCCGCACCGGCGGGCCGCCGUCCCUCGAGAUCGUGCAUGGAGGUCCGACGCCUACCUCCAAGGAAAGGACGCGCGCCAGCUGCAGGCCAUCUCCGGCGACCUCCGACCAUGGUGCGCGCGCCUCCUUCCCUUGUCUUGUUGCUCGGAUCUGGACCAGCUGCUGCUCCUACUGCUUCAGGUGGACGAGGACGAGCCCUCCCUCAUGGCUGCUGCGGCUGCCUACUCCCUCCUCCUAGCCUGGUGUGGUGAGCUCCACCCCCUUCCCUGCACAUCUCAUCUUUUGAUUGCAAAUGGUCUGGACAUAACUUUGUGCCCAACUUAUCUGAUUGUUGGUUAUUCUGUUUAUGUUGUUCCUUUUGGGCCUACUUCAGAACGGUCGUUGAAGCGAAAUAUCGAUCAUGUUCAUAGAUCAGGGAAUGAAUUUGAUGUGUCACGCCUGACAAAAGCCCAAGAUUACAGAAUCUUUGUGUCGACGUGGAAUGUUGGUGGCCAAUGCCCAUCAAGGGGGACACUAAACAAGAACGCUGGGUCUAGCAUUCAUGCUGGCUAUCACACGCCAUUCCCUGUCCCUGAUCCGGUUGUGGAACUAGAUGCUGAUUUUAAGGUGUCCAGGUAUUGUUUGGUUGCCAGCAAACAGAUGGUUGGCAGAUUUCUCACAGUUUGGGUAACAGGUAUGGCAUGGGAUUCAUUGUUCUGGUUAGAUGAGAUAUAUCAUCUGCAUGAUUCCGAUGGAAAUGCAAAAGAAACAGAACCAACAAUAGUAGUCUACCUUAAAGCUCGAAGAAUUCAUGAGGAAUUCUUGCUAGCAUCUAGAAUUGGAUGCCCUCAGGAAGACUACUUUCACACCGCCGAUGUUGUGAGGACUGGCAGCUCUUCAGUUCAUGCUGCCAAUGUUACAACUUGCAGCAUUGGAAUCAACAUCUGGGAACAAUGCAUGGACAUUUAG
Molecule: ribosomal RNA, 1329 nt
Filed under: Triticum aestivum (bread wheat)
Lineage: Eukaryota; Viridiplantae; Streptophyta; Magnoliopsida; Poales; Poaceae
Description: partial small subunit ribosomal RNA
Source: RNAcentral